This 458-nucleotide ribosomal RNA is filed under the name uncultured bacterium. RNAcentral describes it as "partial 16S ribosomal RNA". It matches the Rfam family "Bacterial small subunit ribosomal RNA", at positions 338 to 795 of the family's 1533-position model. The record is from RNAcentral.
CCUACGGGAGGCAGCAGUGAGGAAUAUUGGUCAAUGGGCGAGAGCCUGAACCAGCCAAGUCGCGUGAGGGAGUACUGCCCUAUGGGUUGUAAACCUCUUUUGUCGGGGAGCAAAAGCCGGACGUGUCCGGCUGUGAGAGUACCCGAAGAAAAAGCAUCGGCUAACUCCGUGCCAGCAGCCGCGGUAAUACGGGGGAUGCGAGCGUUAUCCGGCUUUAUUGGGGUUAAAGGGUGCGCAGGCGGAUUUUUAAGUCAGCGGUCAAAUCGUGGGGCUCAACCCCAUCCAGCCGUUGAAACUGGGGAUCUAGAGUGUGCGAGAGGUAUGCGGAAUGCGUGGUGUAGCGGUGAAAUGCAUAGAUAUCACGCAGAACCCCGAUUGCGAAGGCAGCAUACCGGUGCACAACUGACGCUCAGGCACGAAAGCGUGGGUAUCGAACAGGAUUAGAUACCCCAGUAGUC